GAAAAGUUUGAUUCUAGCUUAGAUAAAUUCUAUAGAUUGUUAUUACAUGCAUUGGUAGUGAAAUUAAGUUUAGCAGUGAUUUAUUUUUUACAGCCAUAUAGGGUGGGGAUUUAUUUUAGGUUUAGGAGAAAUAUGUGCCAGCAUCUGCGGUUAUACAUAAUAGGCGAGGGUUUAUUGGUUGAGUAAUACUUUAUUAAGGYCACAUAAAAUAGGUUUAAGUUGGGUGAAAUAAAUGAUUUUAUUUUAUUGUAAUAAUUUUUUGUAUGAAGUUUUUAAAGGGACUAGGAUUAGAUACCCUAUUACUUAAAGAGUAAUUUUGAGAUUAAAGUAGUAGUAAUGAUAUUAGAAACUUAAAGAAUUUGGCGGUGUUUAGAAUAGUUAGAGGAACCUGUGCCAUAAGUGAUAACCCRCAAUAAUUCGUCUUAGUUGAAUUCUUAUAUAUCGCUGUCAUAAGAGUUAAUAGAGAGUUUAAUUCAGGAUUUAUGUAAAAUAAGGACAAGUCAAGGUUUAGAUAAUAAUUAAGGGGUCAUGGGUUACAGUUAAAUAUUUAUUGGGGUUGGACAGAAUAUAUAAGACUUUAAAGAGGAUUUAUUAGUAAAUAAACAAAUAAUUAUUAUUUAUUGAAUUAUAAAACUAAAUAUGUACACAUUGCCCGUCGCUCUCGUUUUUAAAUGAGAUAAGUCGUAACAAAGUAGGUUUGCUGGAAGGGGUUCCUAUAAA
RNAcentral lists this non-coding RNA (720 nucleotides) under Tullbergia bisetosa. Lineage: Eukaryota; Metazoa; Arthropoda; Collembola; Poduromorpha; Tullbergiidae. The record is from RNAcentral.